This 254-nucleotide ribosomal RNA is filed under the name uncultured bacterium. Its description in RNAcentral is "partial 16S ribosomal RNA". It matches the Rfam family "Bacterial small subunit ribosomal RNA", at positions 524 to 776 of the family's 1533-position model. The record is from RNAcentral.
UACGGGGGGGGCAAGCGUUGUUCGGAAUUACUGGGCGUAAAGGGCGCGUAGGCGGCGUGACAAGUCACUUGUGAAAUCUCCGGGCUUAACUCGGAACGGUCAAGUGAUACUGUCGUGCUAGAGUACAGAAGGGGCAACUGGAAUUCUCGGUGUAGCGGUGAAAUGCGUAGAUAUCGAGAGGAACACCUGCGGCGAAGGCGGGUUGCUGGGCUGAUACUGACGCUGGAGGCGCGAAAGCUAGGGGAGCGAACGGG